RNAcentral lists this ribosomal RNA (484 nucleotides) under uncultured bacterium. RNAcentral's name for it is "partial 16S ribosomal RNA". It matches the Rfam family "Bacterial small subunit ribosomal RNA", at positions 30 to 507 of the family's 1533-position model. The record is from RNAcentral.
AUUGAACGCUGGCGGCAGGCCUAACACAUGCAAGUCGAGCGGAUGAAGGGAGCUUGCUCCUGGAUUCAGCGGCCGACGGGUGAGUAAUUCCUAGGAAUCUGCCUGGCAGUUGGGGAUAACGUCCGGAAACGGGCGCUAAUACCGCAUACGUCCUGAGGGAGAAAGGGGGGGAUCUUCGGACCUCACGCUAUCAGAUGAGCCUAGGUCGGAUUAGCUAGUUGGUGGGGUAAAGGCCUACCAAGGCGACGAUCCGUAACUGGUCUGAGAGGAUGAUCAGCCACACUGGAACUGAGACACGGUCCAGACUCCUACGGGAGGCAGCAGUGGGGAAUAUUGGACAAUGGGCGAAAGCCUGAUCCAGCCAUGCCGCGUGUGUGAAGAAGGUCUUCGGAUUGUAAAGCACUUUAAGUUGGGAGGAAGGGCAGUAAGUUAAUACCUUGCUGUUUUGACGUUACCAACAGAAUAAGCACCGGCUAACUUCGUG